CCAAAGGGGCAUGCCAUUAGCUACGGCGAGAUGAGCGGCAAAAGCUCAAAUUUGAAAUCUGGCACCUUCGGUGUCCGAGUUGUAAUUUGAAGAAGGUAACUUUGGAGUCAGCUCUUGUCUAUGAUUCCUUGGAACAGGACGUCACAGAGGGUGAGAAUCCCGUGCGAUGAGAUGUCUGAUUCUAUGUAAAGUGCUUUCGAAGAGUCGAGUUGUUUGGGAAUGCAGCUCUAAGUGGGUGGUAAAUUCCAUCUAAAGCUAAAUAUUGGCGAGAGACCGAUAGCGAACAAGUACAGUGAUGGAAAGAUGAAAAGAACUUUGAAAAGAGAGUGAAAAAGUACGUGAAAUUGUUGAAAGGGAAGGGUUUGAGAUCAGACUUGGUAUUUUGUAUGUCUUGCUUUCGGGUGGGGCCUCUACAGUUUACUGGGCCAGCAUCGGUUUGGACGGUAGGAUAAUGACAUUGGAAUGUGGCACCACUUCGGUGGUGUGUUAUAGACUUUGUUGAUACUGCCUGUCUAGACCGAGGACUGCGUCUUUGACUAGGAUGCUGGCAUAAUGAUCUUAAACCGCCCGUCUGAAAAAAGGGAACAAAACAAAAAGAUUGAGGAGGGGGGAA
RNAcentral lists this ribosomal RNA (613 nucleotides) under Scheffersomyces stipitis. RNAcentral's name for it is "LSU rRNA". It matches the Rfam family "Eukaryotic large subunit ribosomal RNA", at positions 65 to 664 of the family's 3401-position model. Lineage: Eukaryota; Fungi; Ascomycota; Pichiomycetes; Serinales; Debaryomycetaceae. The record is from RNAcentral.